RNAcentral lists this ribosomal RNA (493 nucleotides) under uncultured bacterium. RNAcentral describes it as "partial 16S ribosomal RNA". It matches the Rfam family "Bacterial small subunit ribosomal RNA", at positions 28 to 507 of the family's 1533-position model. The record is from RNAcentral.
GAUGAACGCUGGCGGCGUGCCUAAUACAUGCAAGUAGAACGCUGAAGGAGGAGCUUGCUCUUCUGGAGGAGUGGCGAACGGGUGAGUAACGCGUAGGUAACCUGACUGAAGCGGGGGAGGAGGAUUAGGAAGGGAAACUUAUGCCGAAAGAGAAUAGGUAAUGCGGGAGAAAGGAGUAAAAGGGGGGACCGCGCGAGAAACAAAGAGACGGGGGUGUAUUUGAUAGUUGGGGGGGGAAAGGCUCACCAAAGCGAAGGUACGUAGCCGGCCUGAGAGGGGGAUCGGCCACCCUGGGACUGGGACACCGCCCAGACUCCUACGGGAGGCAGCAAGAGGGAAUUUUCGGCAAUGGACGGAAGUCUGACCGAACCACUCCGCGUUAGUGAAGAAUGUUUUCGGAUCGUAAAGCUCUGUUGUAAGAGAAGAACGAGUGUGAGAGUGGAAAGUUCACGCUGUGACGGUACCUUACCAGAAAGCAACGGCUAACUACGUG